AACGAACGCUGGCGGCAGGCCUAACACAUGCAAGUCGAGCGCCCCGCAAGGGGAGCGGCGGACGGGUGAGUAACGCGUGGGAAUAUGCCCUUUGCUACGGAAUAGUCUCGGGAAACUGGGGGUAAUACCGUAUACGCCCUUUGGGGGAAAGAUUUAUCGGCUAAGGAUUAGCCCGCGUUGGAUUAGGUCGUUGGUGGGGUAAUGGCCUACCAAGCCGACGAUCCAUAGCUGGUUUGAGAGGAUGAUCAGCCACACUGGGACUGAGACACGGCCCAGACUCCUACGGGAGGCAGCAGUGGGGAAUCUUAGACAAUGGGGGCAACCCUGAUCGAGCCAUGCCGCGUGAGUGAUGAAGGCCUUAGGGUUGUAAAGCUCCUUCAGCUGGGAAGAUAAUGACGGUACCAGAAGAAGAAGCCCCGGCUAACUCCGUG
This 431-nucleotide ribosomal RNA is filed under the name uncultured bacterium. RNAcentral's name for it is "partial 16S ribosomal RNA". It matches the Rfam family "Bacterial small subunit ribosomal RNA", at positions 29 to 507 of the family's 1533-position model. The record is from RNAcentral.